GGAAGAUGACAUUGGCCGUGUAAAAGUUCAGCGUAAAAACACUUCUAUUAUAACGGACAGCCAGUCGAGCAAUGAGGGCACAGGUAGCUCCGGUGAAAACGGUAAUAGCAGAAUUGAUGAAACUGAGGGAAGGAAGGAUUCUUAUAACAGCAGCAGUGAAGAUGAUUUUGGAAACUUUGGAGCUUAUACGGCUGAAGAACAGAGGGAAAAAAUAAGAAGAUUGUUUCAAAGGGAAGGGCUCAUAACUGUAUCUGACACUGGCUUUGAUGUUCAUUUUGACAGAGUAAUUAAAGCAUUGAUCACUAAUGCUGUAAAUGAAAACUUUCUUGAAUCCUUAUAUGGAAAGAGCAUGAGGAAAAGAACUGAAGAAGACAUGAAACAAUCAUUGGAUCAAUUUGAUCAAAAAACCAUUGAGCCACGCCUUCAGGCUCUGACGUCUACACGAAGCUGGCAAAGGAAUUACCUGAAUCGUCUUGAGAACUACCCCUGUAUUGAUAUUGGCACAUGUUCUGCUGUUAAACGAAAGUGCCAGGCUUGUUGUAUGGAUCGCAUGUGCAAGUAUUCCAUUACUUUAUCUGGUCCACCUUAUGAUAAGAAGAUACUGAAGAUGGAACAGUUCCUAAAAGAUAACAAAAGGGUUGUUUUGGUUGGUAGCUUGUGUGCAGAAAAAACAAGAUUAUAUCACCAGCUGCGACACUUCAAAUAUAAUUUAUACCAAGAGUGCGUUUCUAAGGUGAAGAAGGAAGAUUUUGAUAAGAACAAACCUGAUGAAGCAGUAAAACAGAUUUUUUCGAAACUCCAUGACUGUGACUGGAUUGAACAGCAAAAAUGCAUCAUAAACAACCUGAUAGAAGAAGCUGAUGGUUUUCAUCAAAAGGCAAAGGACAUGAUAGCCGGAAUGAAAUCGGAAUGGGGAGGCUUCUAUGGUUAAUCUUAGGUUCUGCUGUCUGGGAAAUAUCAUGCAUUUAAGAAUUGUAUUGAAACAGUGAUUUUAAAGUGCUUUUGUGUGUGUCAUGAUUUUAAAAAGCUAUUUUACAUUCAGCUUUUAAAAAUGUUAAUUUCUUAAUCAUUUUCAUAUAACUUUAAGGUUUUAAUUACAACUCCUUGCUUAUCUAUAGCAUAUACAGUAUAUCCCACAGGGUCCACAAAUGUAGAUACACUUCGUCACUCCUGAAGUGCAGCCUCACAUGGGUGAUGCACAGCAUCUAAACUGCACAACACAUCAGGUAGAGCAGUGAGGAACUGCUUCACAAGUUAAAUUAAGAGGGAACUAGAAGGAGGCCAGUCUCUUCAAGCCCAGAGUGGAAUUUAGCCAAGACUCCUGGGUACAUACCCCUACACUUUCUGGAAUGACCAAGUGUUCUAACAUUUAGUAUAACAUUCUGGAUUUCCUUUAAACUCUCCUCUCCCAUUACUAUGCUGCAGCUUUUAAAUUGUACUUUUUCAAAUUAUUUGUAUACUCUUUUCUCUUCUACAUUUGCUCAUAGUGUAUAUCUGAAAUCUGAUGUUUUUGUAUUUUUACUAUUUACAAUAAGUGAUUGUCAAAAAUCAGAAGGAUUUGGAUUAAAGAUUAAAAAAAUUGUAUGGCCAAAAAAUAAAAUUAAUGAAUGUUGUCUCACA
Non-coding RNA from Lepisosteus oculatus (spotted gar), 1620 nucleotides. NCBI's taxonomy places the organism in Eukaryota, Metazoa, Chordata, Actinopteri, Semionotiformes, Lepisosteidae. The record is from RefSeq and is a predicted model, not a curated record.